GAACUGCGAUAAGUAAUGUGAAUUGCAGAAUUCAGUGAAUCAUCGAGUCUUUGAACGCACAUUGCGCCCCCUGGCAUUCCGGGGGGCAUGCCUGUCCGAGCGUCAUUGCUGCCCUUCAAGCCCGGCUUGUGUGUUGGGUCAUCGUCCCCUCCGGGGGACGGGCCCGAAAGGCAGCGGCGGCACCGCGUCCGGUCCUCGAGCGUAUGGGGCUUUGUCACCCGCUCGAUAAGGACCGGCCGGGCGCCAGCCGGCGUCUCCAACCUUUUUUUCUCAGGUUGACCUCGGAUCAGGUAGGGAUACCCGCUGAACUUAAGC
Molecule: unclassified non-coding RNA, 315 nt
Filed under: plant metagenome
Description: partial contains 5.8S ribosomal RNA, internal transcribed spacer 2, and large subunit ribosomal RNA
Rfam family: 5.8S ribosomal RNA (bases 1-105)
Source: RNAcentral